GAUGAAGAACGUAGCGAAAUGCGAUACUUGGUGUGAAUUGCAGAAUCCCGUGAACCAUCGAGUCUUUGAACGCAAGUUGCGCCCGAAGCCACUAGGCCGAGGGCACGCCUGCCUGGCGUCACACGCCGUUGCCCCCCCAUCUACUCCUUCGGGAUUGCGGGGGGGCGGAUGAUGGCCUCCCGUGCGCCUAGCCGCGCGGUUGGCAUAAAUACCAAGUCCUCGGCGACGCACGCCACGACAAUCGGUGGUUGCGAAACCUCGGUUGCCCGUCGUGUGCGUUCGUCGCGCAUCGAGGGCUCGAAAAAAUGCUCGGCUCCGGCUGGGCUUUCAACGCGACCCCAGGUCAGGCGGGGUUACCCGCUGAAUUUAAGCAUAUCAAUAAGCGGAGGA
This 390-nucleotide unclassified non-coding RNA is filed under the name soil metagenome. Its description in RNAcentral is "partial contains 5.8S ribosomal RNA, internal transcribed spacer 2, and large subunit ribosomal RNA". The stretch from base 1 to 121 matches the Rfam family "5.8S ribosomal RNA", at positions 35 to 154 of the family's 154-position model. The record is from RNAcentral.